Molecule: non-coding RNA, 789 nt
Organism: Phasianus colchicus (ring-necked pheasant)
Lineage: Eukaryota; Metazoa; Chordata; Aves; Galliformes; Phasianidae
Source: RefSeq, a predicted model, not a curated record
ACUGUUCUCACUGCGUGUUGCUUGGGGUCUUAAUCCCCGGGACUUAUAGUUACCUUUCCUGUGCCGAUUUGAAAUACAAAUCCACAGUUCAUCCAUGAUCCUAAGAUCCGUGACUGUGAACACUGCAGAUGAGAUGCGCUAGCAUUGUGACCCAUUUUGCAGACUGAAAGUAAUAUUGGACUCUUGUUAUAUCUUCUUGCUUCUUCUUUCUUGCCAGAGAUAGGUGCUGAGCCCAAUGGAAAGAUCUACACGAAAGCGGUGCAGGAAGUCCUUUCUGAGAAAGCUCAUCUCCAGGCUGGAGGGCUUCCUACAACAGCAGGUCCCAGCUCAGGGAGAAGACCUUCCCUUGCAGCGUGCCCCCGCUCUGUCUCCAAGUCCCUGGCUGGAUGUAAACGCAAGGGCUUGGAAGAAGAGCAGCAAACAGCAGCGCAGUUGCCUGCUACCAAAAGAGCGAGGGGUCAGAGCGGAGACAGCGUGCCGGCUCCAGCAGCACAGCCUGGGCCUGCUGCAGCACGGAGCUCCAAGCUAAGAGCAAGAAGACAACGAAAAGAGAGAAGAGUGGAAUUGAAGAAGGCUUCUCUGAGAGCUGACGCUGCACGUGCAGAGUCAUCCGCAAUGAACACCCUUGUGGAGAUGAUGCAGAAGCUGCAGCUGAAGGACUGAGAGGAAGAGCAUCAGAAGGCAGCGGCUGCAGCACGCAGAGUUACAGGGCAGCGUUCUGAGUGCCGCCCAACUUGGCACUCCAUGUUUGGUUGUAGUCAAUAAAAAAUAGUCACAAUUAGAGAUUGA